UACGUAGGGUGCGAGCGUUGUCCGGAAUUAUUGGGCGUAAAGAGCUCGUAGGCGGUCUGUUACGUCCGCUGUGAAAACCCAGGGCUUAACCCUGGGCUUGCAGUGGAUACGGGCAGACUAGAGGCAGGUAGGGGAGAAUGGAAUUCCCGGUGUAGCGGUGAAAUGCGCAGAUAUCGGGAGGAACACCGGUGGCGAAGGCGGUUCUCUGGGCCUGACCUGACGCUGAGGAGCGAAAGCGUGGGGAGCGAACAGG
This 253-nucleotide ribosomal RNA is filed under the name uncultured bacterium. Its description in RNAcentral is "partial 16S ribosomal RNA". It matches the Rfam family "Bacterial small subunit ribosomal RNA", at positions 524 to 776 of the family's 1533-position model. The record is from RNAcentral.